This 254-nucleotide ribosomal RNA is filed under the name uncultured bacterium. RNAcentral describes it as "partial 16S ribosomal RNA". It matches the Rfam family "Bacterial small subunit ribosomal RNA", at positions 118 to 353 of the family's 1533-position model. The record is from RNAcentral.
UAAACAACCUGCCUUCAGGAUGGGGACAACAGACGGAAACGACUGCUAAUACCGAAUAAGUUCCAAGAGCCGCAUGGCCCAUGGAAGAAAAGGUGGCCUCUACCUGUAAGCUAUCGCCUGAAGAGGGGUUUGCGUCUGAUUAGCUGGUUGGAGGGGUAACGGCCCACCAAGGCGACAAUCAGUAGCCGGUCUGAGAGGAUGAACGGCCACACUGGAACUGAGACACGGUCCAGACUCCUACGGGAGGCAGCAUG